RNAcentral lists this ribosomal RNA (1051 nucleotides) under uncultured Mycobacteriaceae bacterium. Its description in RNAcentral is "bacterial SSU rRNA". It matches the Rfam family "Bacterial small subunit ribosomal RNA", at positions 336 to 1397 of the family's 1533-position model. Lineage: Bacteria; Bacillati; Actinomycetota; Actinomycetes; Mycobacteriales; Mycobacteriaceae. The record is from RNAcentral.
CUCCUACGGGAGGCAGCAGUGGGGAAUAUUGCACAAUGGGCGCAAGCCUGAUGCGGUGACGCCGCGUGAGGGAUGACGGCCUUCGGGUUGUAAACCUCUUUCAAUAGGGACGAAGCGCAAGUGACGGUACCUAUAGAAGAAGGACCGGCCAACUACGUGCCAGCAGCCGCGGUAAUACGUAGGGUCCGAGCGUUGUCCGGAAUUACUGGGCGUAAAGAGCUCGUAGGUGGUUUGUCGCGUUGUUCGUGAAAACUCACAGCUUAACUGUGGGCGUGCGGGCGAUACGGGCAGACUAGAGUACUGCAGGGGAGACUGGAAUUCCUGGUGUAGCGGUGGAAUGCGCAGAUAUCAGGAGGAACACCGGUGGCGAAGGCGGGUCUCUGGGCAGUAACUGACGCUGAGGAGCGAAAGCGUGGGGAGCGGACAGGAUUAGAUACCCUGGUAGUCCACGCCGUAAACGGUGGGUACUAGGUGUGGGUUUCCUUCCUUGGGAUCCGUGCCGUAGCUAACGCAUUAAGUACCCCGCCUGGGGAGUACGGCCGCAAGGUUAAAACUCAAAUGAAUUGACGGGGGCCCGCACAAGCGGUGGAGCAUGUGGUUUAAUUCGAUGCAACGCGAAGAACCUUACCUACUCUUGACAUCCAGAGAAUUCGCUAGAGAUAGCUUAGUGCCUUCGGGAACUCUGAGACAGGUGCUGCAUGGCUGUCGUCAGCUCGUGUUGUGAAAUGUUGGGUUAAGUCCCGCAACGAGCGCAACCCUUAUCCUUUGUUGCCAGCACGUAAUGGUGGGAACUCAAAGGAGACUGCCGGUGAUAAACCGGAGGAAGGUGGGGAUGACGUCAAGUCAUCAUGGCCCUUACGAGUAGGGCUACACACGUGCUACAAUGGCGUAUACAAAGAGAAGCGAACUCGCGAGAGCAAGCGGACCUCAUAAAGUACGUCGUAGUCCGGAUCGGAGUCUGCAACUCGACUCCGUGAAGUCGGAAUCGCUAGUAAUCGUAGAUCAGAAUGCUACGGUGAAUACGUUCCCGGGCCUUGUACACACCGCCCGU